Molecule: ribosomal RNA, 491 nt
Filed under: uncultured bacterium
Lineage: Bacteria
Description: partial 16S ribosomal RNA
Rfam family: Bacterial small subunit ribosomal RNA
Source: RNAcentral
AGUGAACGCUGGCGGUAGGCCUAACACAUGCAAGUCGAACGGCAGCACAGUAAGAGCUUGCUCUUACGGGUGGCGAGUGGCGGACGGGUGAGGAAUACAUCGGAAUCUACUUUUUCGUGGGGGAUAACGUAGGGAAACUUACGCUAAUACCGCAUACGACCUACGGGUGAAAGCAGGGGAUCUUCGGACCUUGCGCGAUUGAAUGAGCCGAUGUCGGAUUAGCUGGUUGGCGGGGUAAAGGCCCACCAAGGCGACGAUCCGUAGCUGGUCUGAGAGGAUGAUCAGCCACACUGGAACUGAGACACGGUCCAGACUCCUACGGGAGGCAGCAGUGGGGAAUAUUGGACAAUGGGCGCAAGCCUGAUCCAGCCAUACCGCGUGGGUGAAGAAGGCCUGCGGGUUGUAAAGCCCUUUUGUUGGGAAAGAAAAGCAGCAGGUUAAUACCCCGCUGUUCUGACGGUACCCAAAGAAUAAGCACCGGCUAACUUCGU